UACAGCCAUAUCACAUUGAAACACUGGCUCUUGUACGAUCAUUGAAGUUAACCAUCAUCAAGCCUAGUCAGUAGCUAGAUGGGUGACCACUUAGAAAUACCAGGUGCUGUAAG
Molecule: non-coding RNA, 113 nt
Organism: Acanthosepion pharaonis
Lineage: Eukaryota; Metazoa; Mollusca; Cephalopoda; Sepiida; Sepiidae
Source: the annotation of a GenBank genome assembly